This 459-nucleotide ribosomal RNA is filed under the name uncultured bacterium. RNAcentral's name for it is "partial 16S ribosomal RNA". It matches the Rfam family "Bacterial small subunit ribosomal RNA", at positions 338 to 795 of the family's 1533-position model. The record is from RNAcentral.
CCUACGGGUGGCAGCAGUGAGGAAUAUUGGUCAAUGGGCGCAGGCCUGAACCAGCCAAGUCGCGUGAGGGAAGACUGCCCUAUGGGUUGUAAACCUCUUUUAUAAGGGAAGAAUAAUGACUACGUGUAGUCAGAUGCCCGUACCUUAUGAAUAAGCAUCGGCUAACUCCGUGCCAGCAGCCGCGGUAAUACGGAGGAUGCGAGCGUUAUCCGGAUUUAUUGGGUUUAAAGGGUGCGUAGGCGGUAGUUUAAGUUAGUGGUAAAACGUCGGGGCUUCACCUUGAUUGGCCAUUAAAACUGGAGUGCAAGAGUACAGACGAGGUAGGCGGAAUACGUGAAGUAGCGGUGAAAUGCUUAGAUAUGACUGAGAACCCCGAUAGCGAAGGCAGGUUACCAGCAUGCUACUGACGCUGAGGCACGAGAGCGUGGGUAGCGAACAGGAUUAGAUACCCUGGUAGUC